CACAAAUAAGUUAUCAAUCAAGUAGAUGAACGAAUUGAAUCCGCAACUUAUGAAAUAACAAUUGAAUGUAAUCAAAUCAUAUUGCAAGCAUGUACAUGGUUUCGAAUCACCCCCCAACUAAGGGGGUUUAGUUCUUCAUUCUUGCAAUACAAAGAUACAUAAAAUUAGACAUUAAAAUCAAAGGAAAGAAAACACCUAAAA
This 201-nucleotide long non-coding RNA is filed under the name Malus domestica (apple). RNAcentral describes it as "long non-coding RNA (MDOM_LNC016894)". Lineage: Eukaryota; Viridiplantae; Streptophyta; Magnoliopsida; Rosales; Rosaceae. The record is from RNAcentral.